ACCAAUAUUUUCUCCUCCGUCUCUUUGAAGAGGAUAUGAUACAGCUGGAAAAGACUUGGAGAAGGAUGACAAAGACAGCAGAAGGCAGAGAAGGACUUUAUUACCAAUAGCAGCAGGUAGGUUGAGUUCUUCUGCCCAGAGAAAGGAUUACCAAACAGAGACUGUGCUGGAAAACAAUUGCCAUUGAAAGAUUGAAAUUAUUCAGUGACCCAUCCAGUAAAAGAACUAGGAGACAUCAAGGAACCAGAUUCAAAACAAGCAAAAAGAACUGAUUAUGCAUGUCAUAAGAUGAGAAACUCCGUUCUGGCAGAUUUUGCAGAUACUGAAAGUUUUGCACAAGUUCAGGAAAACACCACUGAUGGAUUCUUCUGUCUGCCCCCUGGCAUCCAGUGCUGGCUGGAGAUCUCUAGAGAAUGAGUCAAGCUGGUGAUGAAAGUUCCAGUUCCGAUGAAAAAGAAUUGGAAGUCGAGAGGGAGCAACCUAUCUGUGCUUUAGCUCCAACAGUAUAUACCCGAGAUGAAGGAUCCACUGAUGUAACAUCAAGUCCUGCAUUUCAGUGUUUAGAUGAGGCAUAAGAAUGUUUUAUGAAGAAGGACCAAACAUAUACUUCUUGCUGGAGAUGGUGUGCCUAAUGGAUACCCAUGUUGCUCCUUUCAGGGAGUGUUGCUUUAAGAGGUCACCACAGCGGUUGUUGCAUCAAUACUAGAUUAAAUCUUGGAAUCUUUCAAAAUUUUUC
This 736-nucleotide long non-coding RNA is filed under the name Chrysolophus pictus (golden pheasant). RNAcentral's name for it is "lncRNA (ENSCPIG00010003069.1)". Lineage: Eukaryota; Metazoa; Chordata; Aves; Galliformes; Phasianidae. The record is from RNAcentral.